This is a non-coding RNA of Pelobates cultripes (western spadefoot toad), 274 nucleotides long. The record is from the annotation of a GenBank genome assembly. NCBI's taxonomy places the organism in Eukaryota, Metazoa, Chordata, Amphibia, Anura, Pelobatidae.
GUGAGGGGGUUACUAGUGACAGAGUGAGGGAAGGGGUGACUAGUGGCAGAGUGAGGGAAGGAAGGGGUGACUAGUGACAGAGUGAGGGAUGUGGUGACUGUUACUAGUCACCACCUCCCUCUGUCACUACUCCCUCCCUCCUCCUGUCACUACUCCCUCCCUUCUUCUGUCACUAGUCACCCCCUCCCUCACUCUGUCACCAGUCAUCCCCUCCCUCACUGUGUCACCAGUCAUCCCCUCCCUCACUCUGUCACCAGUCAUCCCUUUCCCUCAC